RNAcentral lists this long non-coding RNA (945 nucleotides) under Cottoperca gobio. RNAcentral describes it as "lncRNA (ENSCGOG00000017027.1)". Lineage: Eukaryota; Metazoa; Chordata; Actinopteri; Perciformes; Bovichtidae. The record is from RNAcentral.
GAAAAUGUUUAGUUGGGAAUUGGAUGUGUUACAAAAAAUGUCAACGGUUUAACUUUGCCCACUGGUCUAGAAUUGAGCAAGUUGAAUGUUGCUUGAUAUUAGCUAAGCUAAUUAACUAGCUAAUAUGCAUUAACUAAUGAUCUCCUGUUUCAGCAGCUUGAAUUUCAUCCACAUUUGCUCUGUAAGUUGACGUGUAAUUUUGGCUACGUGUUCAAGAUUUAAACGAGUGCAUUUUGAUCUGCUUGCUUCUGCCAGGGGGCAAGUCUGGGGGCGACAGGAUAUGAUGCAGACACAGAAGACACACAUGAUGAGAAGGACAUUUUGGAUGGGGGUAGGUCAAAUGCUGUCUCCAGGUAGAAAACAAAUGGCAGAGUAUAAUGGUACAGUAUCUAAACACAGCAAAUAAAUAAGAUGAGAUGAUGUUUACUUUAUGGUAGAACCAGCUGCAUCUCAAGAAGCUGCGUCUCCACAACCGUCAGACGAGCUGGGAGGAGCUGAUGAUGAAACAGGUGAGCACUUCUUCUCUCUUCUUCUCUCUUCUUCUCCAUCUGCUUAUGUGCCAGCGUAACUUCAUUGCAGUAGUGUUCACAAUAAUUUACUUAAAAGACAGCUGAUAUUUCGGUAUGAUGAACUGUGCUUUUCGCUGAGAUGAUGUUUACUUUAUGGUAGAACCAGCUGCAUCUCAAGAAGCUGCAUCUCCACAACCGUCAGACGAGCUGGGAGGAGCUGAUGAUGAAACAGAACCAGCUGCAUCUCAAGAAGCUGCGUCUCCACAACCGUCAGACGAGCUGGGAGGAGCUGAUGAUGAAACAGGUGAGCUCUUCUUCUCUCUUCUUCUCUCUUCUUCUCCAUCUGCUUAUGUGCCAGCGUAACUUCAUUGCAGUAGUGUUCACAAUAAUUUACUUAAAGACAGCUGAUAUUUCGGUAUGAUGAACUGUGCUUUUC